RNAcentral lists this ribosomal RNA (423 nucleotides) under uncultured bacterium. RNAcentral describes it as "bacterial SSU rRNA". It matches the Rfam family "Bacterial small subunit ribosomal RNA", at positions 207 to 622 of the family's 1533-position model. The record is from RNAcentral.
AAGACCUUGCACUUUUGGAGCGGCCGAUGUCUGAUUAGCUAGUUGGUGGGGUAAUGGCCUACCAAAGCUUCGAUCAGUAGCUGGUCUGAGAGGACGGCCAGCCACACUGGGACUGAGACACGGCCCAGACUCCUACGGGAGGCAGCAGUUGGGAAUUUUGGACAAUGGGCGCAAGCCUGAUCCAGCCAUGCCGCGUGAGUGAAGAAGGCCUUCGGGUUGUAAAGCUCUUUCAGCCGGGAAGAAAAGGUUGCGAUUAAUAAUCGCAAUUUAUGACGGUACCGGAAGAAGAAGCACCGGCUAACUACGUGCCAGCAGCCGCGGUAAUACGUAGGGUGCGAGCGUUAAUCGGAAUUACUGGGCGUAAAGGGUGCGCAGGCGGUUUUGUAAGUCAGAUGUGAAAUCCCCGGGCUUAACCUGGGAACU